This 751-nucleotide long non-coding RNA is filed under the name Brassica napus (rape). Its description in RNAcentral is "long non-coding RNA (BNAP_LNC015288)". The record is from RNAcentral. Lineage: Eukaryota; Viridiplantae; Streptophyta; Magnoliopsida; Brassicales; Brassicaceae.
UUGGUUUUACAAUUUGAGUUUAGGGUUUGGGUUAAGGGUUUAGAGUUUGGGUUUACGGGGUUUUGGGUUUAGGGUUUGGGUUUAGGGUCUACGGUUUGGGUUUAGGGUUUAGAUCUUCAAGGUUAGGGUUUAGGUAGCUCCGUUAUGGACGAUGGUUUGGUUUUACAAUUUGGGUUUAGGGUUUAGGUUAAGGGUUUACGGUUUGGGUUUAGGGUUUAGAAUUUGGGUUUAGGGGGGUUUAGGGUUUAGGUAGCUCUGUUUGGGUCUAUGGUUUGGGUUAAGAAUUUAUGUUUAGGGUUUGGAUUUAUGGUUUAGAGUUUUGGUUUAGGGUUUAGGUAGCUCCGUUAUGGUUUACGGUUUGGGUUAAUAAUUUGAGUUUAGGGUUUGGGUUUAGGGUAUACGGUUUGGGUUUAGGGUUUAAGGGUUGUCUUUUGAGACUAUAUUACAUUUUAUAUAGUAGUAUAGCAUGUGCAUUGGAGUCAUUUGCACGCACACGCGCUUCGGAAGCUAUUACGGACAAUUUUAGGUGAACUUGUCACAUCGAUGGGUUUUUACUGUAGAAUGACUAUAUUCUUCAUUUUAGUGUUCGAAUAUUCAGCAAAUUGUCCCAAUAAAUUUUUAUUAGUUUAUUUUUAAUUCUGAAUCUGAAGCAAAUAUAUUAUACUCCGUCUGUUCCUAAAUAUAAAAUGUUUUAGGUAGUAUACGCUUAUUAAGAAAAUUAUUUUUUAUCUAAAAAGUAUCAUUAAAAUUA